AUUGAACGCUGGCGGCAUGCCUUACACAUGCAAGUCGAACGGUAACAGGUCUUCGGAUGCUGACGAGUGGCGAACGGGUGAGUAAUACAUCGGAACGUGCCUAGUAGUGGGGGAUAACUACUCGAAAGAGUGGCUAAUGCCGCAUGAGAUCUACGGAUGAAAGCAGGGGAUCGCAAGACCUUGUGCUACUAGAGCGGCCGAUGGCAGAUUAGGUAGAUGGUGGGAUAAAAGCUUACCAAGCCGACGAUCUGUAGCUGGUCUGAGAGGACGAUCAGCCACCCUGGGACUGAGACACGGCCGAGACUCCUACGGGAGGAAGCAGUGGGGAAUUUUGGACAAUGGGCGAAAGCCUGAUCCAGCAAUGCCGCGUGCAGGAUGAAGGCCUUCGGGUUGUAAACUGCUUUUGUACGGAACGAAAAGCCCCGGGUUAAUACCCUGGGGUCACGACGGUACCGUAAGAAUAAGCACCGGCUAACUACGUGCCAGCCGCCGCAGUAA
Molecule: ribosomal RNA, 498 nt
Filed under: uncultured bacterium
Lineage: Bacteria
Description: partial 16S ribosomal RNA
Rfam family: Bacterial small subunit ribosomal RNA
Source: RNAcentral